GCCAGGCACAGUGGUGCACACCUGUAGUCCCAGGUACUCAGGAAGCUGAGGCAGGAAGAUCACUUGAGCCCAAGAGUUCUUGGCUGUAGUGUGCUACACUGAUUGGGUGUCUGCACUAAGUUUGGCAUCAAUAUGGUGACCUCCUGGCAAAGAGGACCACCAGGUUGCUUAAAGAGGUGUGAACUGGCCCAGGUCAGAAACAGCAGGUCAAAAUUCCCAUGCUAAUCAGUAGAGGGAUUGCACCUGUGAAUGGCCACUGCACUCCAGCCUGCGCAAUAUAGCAAGACUCUUUUUUUA
Homo sapiens (human) is the source of this 297-nucleotide non-coding RNA. It matches the Rfam family "Metazoan signal recognition particle RNA". From Rfam's summary of the family: The signal recognition particle (SRP) is a universally conserved ribonucleoprotein. It is involved in the co-translational targeting of proteins to membranes. Lineage: Eukaryota; Metazoa; Chordata; Mammalia; Primates; Hominidae. The record is from Rfam.